This 411-nucleotide ribosomal RNA is filed under the name Triticum aestivum (bread wheat). RNAcentral's name for it is "partial small subunit ribosomal RNA". The record is from RNAcentral. Lineage: Eukaryota; Viridiplantae; Streptophyta; Magnoliopsida; Poales; Poaceae.
AUGAUACUACGAGAUCACGUGGGAGCAGUCAUUUUCGCGUCUUGCAGGUUCCUCCCGAGAUGUGCAAGUCCUCUUGAGGCUGAAUUAUCAGCCUGCAUGGAGGGAGUUACCCUGGCUCUCGAGUGGAGCAUGGCGCCUCUCGUCUUGGAGAUGGACUGUGCUGCUGCAGUAAGCAUGAUUAAGGAAACAUCAUUGGACAGAUCCCCCAAUGCGUCUCUUGUUGGAGAGAUUAAGAGGAAGCUAGCUGUAGGUAGGGAGCAUGCAAUCAGGUUGAUUCCUAGAGAGCAAAACGGUACCAGUCAUGCCCUUUCGCAAAUGGGAUGCUCGAUCCCACGUACGGCCGUCUGGCUGCGUUCGGCACCUGACGAGAUUGUUGGUUUAUGUAAGCAAGACUGUGGCGAAUCCACUUGA